AUUGAACGCUGGCGGCAGGCCUAACACAUGCAAGUCGAGCGGAUGAAGAGAGCUUGCUCUCUGAUUCAGCGGCGGACGGGUGAGUAAUGCCUAGGAAUCUGCCUGGUAGUGGGGGACAACGUUUCGAAAGGAACGCUAAUACCGCAUACGUCCUACGGGAGAAAGCAGGGGACCUUCGGGCCUUGCGCUAUCAGAUGAGCCUAGGUCGGAUUAGCUAGUUGGUGAGGUAAUGGCUCACCAAGGCGACGAUCCGUAACUGGUCUGAGAGGAUGAUCAGUCACACUGGAACUGAGACACGGUCCAGACUCCUACGGGAGGCAGCAGUGGGGAAUAUUGGACAAUGGGCGAAAGCCUGAUCCAGCCAUGCCGCGUGUGUGAAGAAGGUCUUCGGAUUGUAAAGCACUUUAAGUUGGGAGGAAGGGUAGGUAACCUAAUACGUUGCUACUUUGACGUUACCGACAGAAUAAGCACCGGCUAACUUCGUGCCA
RNAcentral lists this ribosomal RNA (488 nucleotides) under uncultured bacterium. RNAcentral describes it as "bacterial SSU rRNA". It matches the Rfam family "Bacterial small subunit ribosomal RNA", at positions 30 to 510 of the family's 1533-position model. The record is from RNAcentral.